UGGCAGUCUAUACUCGUGACACGUGCGACGAUGAAGUCCGCUUCGGUGGUGGAUUAGUGGCGAACGGGUGAGUAACACGUGGGCAAUCUGCCCUGCACUCUGGGACAAGCCCUGGAAACGGGGUCUAAUACCGGAUAUGACUACCGAUCGCAUGGUUGGUGGUGGAAAGCUCCGGCGGUGCAGGAUGAGCCCGCGGCCUAUCAGCUUGUUGGUGGGGUGAUGGCCUACCAAGGCGACGACGGGUAGCCGGCCUGAGAGGGCGACCGGCCACACUGGGACUGAGACACGGCCCAGACUCCUACGGGAGGCAGCAGUGGGGAAUAUUGCACAAUGGGCGAAAGCCUGAUGCAGCGACGCCGCGUGAGGGAUGACGGCCUUCGGGUUGUAAACCUCUUUCAGCAGGGAAGAAGCGAGAGUGACGGUACCUGCAGAAGAAGCGCCGGCUAACUACGUGCCAGCAGCCGCGGUAAUACGUAGGGCGCGAGCGUUGUCCGGAAUUAUUGGGCGUAAAGAGCUCGUAGGCGGCUUGUCGCGUCGGAUGUGAAAGCCCGGGGCUUAACCCCGGGUCUGCAUUCGAUACGGGCAGGCUAGAGUUCGGUAGGGGAGAUCGGAAUUCCUGGUGUAGCGGUGAAAUGCGCAGAUAUCAGGAGGAACACCGGUGGCGAAGGCGGAUCUCUGGGCCGAUACUGACGCUGAGGAGCGAAAGCGUGGGGAGCGAACAGGAUUAAAUACCCUGGUAGUCCACGCCGUAAACCUUGGGAACUACGUGUGGGCGACAUUUCUCGUCUGCCGUGCCGCAUAUAACGCAUUAAGUUCCCCGCCUGGGGAGUACGGCCCCAACGCGAGAACUCCCAGGAAUUGAGGGGGGCCCGCACAAAAAGCCGGAGCAUUUGAUUUAUUUCUACGCAGCGCGGAGAAACAUUUUUAAGGCGUGUAGAAACUCCAGCGUAAGAGCGUCAGAGUUUGUCCCCC
RNAcentral lists this ribosomal RNA (972 nucleotides) under Streptomyces youssoufiensis. Its description in RNAcentral is "bacterial SSU rRNA". It matches the Rfam family "Bacterial small subunit ribosomal RNA", at positions 40 to 1019 of the family's 1533-position model. Lineage: Bacteria; Bacillati; Actinomycetota; Actinomycetes; Kitasatosporales; Streptomycetaceae. The record is from RNAcentral.